GCCGAGGUCGCAUAACCUGGUAUCGCGCUGGACUGCUAAUCCAGUUUCCCUUGGGAUAUGUGGGUUCAAAUUUAGUUUACUGCGUCUUUACGUCUGUAUGCUGAUGAACGUCCCACCCUCGGCG
RNAcentral lists this transfer RNA (124 nucleotides) under Nanobdellota archaeon. RNAcentral describes it as "tRNA-Ser". It matches the Rfam family "tRNA". From Rfam's summary of the family: Transfer RNA (tRNA) molecules are approximately 80 nucleotides in length. Their secondary structure includes four short double-helical elements and three loops (D, anti-codon, and T loops). Further hydrogen bonds mediate the characteristic L-shaped molecular structure. tRNAs have two regions of fundamental functional importance: the anti-codon, which is responsible for specific mRNA codon recognition, and the 3' end, to which the tRNAs corresponding amino acid is attached (by aminoacyl-tRNA synthetases). tRNAs cope with the degeneracy of the genetic code in two manners: having more than one tRNA (with a specific anti-codon) for a particular amino acid; and 'wobble' base-pairing, i.e. permitting non-standard base-pairing at the 3rd anti-codon position. Lineage: Archaea; Nanobdellati; Nanobdellota. The record is from RNAcentral.